GCUUAACACAUGCAAGUUGUGCGGUGAUCUCAAGAAGUUUCGGACGGAAAGGGAGAGCAGCGAGCGGACGGGUGAGUAAAGCACAAGGACUUGUCCCGAAGAGGGGGACAACUGUGGGAAACCACAGCUAAUACCCCAUAAGCCGAGAGGUGAAAGCAGUAAUGCGCUUUAGGAGGAGACUUGUGUCCUAUCAGGUAGUUGGUGAGGUAACGGCUCGACCAAGCCGAAGACGGGUAGCCGGACUGAGAGGUUGUACGGCCACAUUGGAGCUGAGAGACGGUCCAGACUCCUACGGGAGGCAGCAGUGGGGAAUAUUGGGCAAUGGGGGCAAAACCCCUGACCCAGCGACGCCGCGUGAGGGAAGACAGCCUUCGGGUUGUAAACCUCUGUUGCAGGGGAAGAAGAAAGUGACGGUACCCUGCGAGGAAGCUCCGGCAAACUACGUGCCAGCCGCCGC
This 457-nucleotide ribosomal RNA is filed under the name uncultured bacterium. RNAcentral's name for it is "bacterial SSU rRNA". It matches the Rfam family "Bacterial small subunit ribosomal RNA", at positions 46 to 518 of the family's 1533-position model. The record is from RNAcentral.